GCAAUCAUUGUGCAAAUCAAUGUGAUAUAAUGCUUAAACAAUUUGCAACGUAUAUAUAAUAUGACCAGUGUAAUAUCGUUUGCCAUUUUUGAUUCUCUGUUAAAAUGUGCUUUAAGAAUGCUUAUGAGAUUGAACUAGACUGAGAUUGACACUGCUUUUUAUUAUUAUUUAUUUGCAGCGUAACAGCAAUAGCAAUAAAAUAUAUGUUUCAGACAUUGUGACUUUAUUUUUCCACAGGGCUGAAAUCACUCUAGGGAACAUCAUCAAAAAGAAAGGCUGGAGACGGUCCAGUUAUGUAGUAACGACUAAGAUCUACUGGGGAGGACAGGCAGAGACAGAGAGAGGCCUGUCCAGAAAACACAUCAUCGAAGGUCUCAGAGGUUCCCUGUCUAGACUACAGCUGGAUUACGUGGAUAUUGUCUUUGCCAACCGAAGCGAUGUGAACAGCCCUAUGGAAGAGGUAGUGCGUGCGAUGACAUUUGUUAUAAACCAGGGUAUGGCCAUGUACUGGGGCACGUCACGCUGGAGCGCCAUGGAGAUCAUGGUACGGUUUUCUCUCCAUGCAUCAAAACUGGUCACUCUUUAUUCUGGGGACCGAUUCUCACUGGAUUCUAUCUACGCCUCAGUAAACUCUUAAUUUGCUGUUAUUGUAAGUUAGUUAGUAAGGAAGGAUUAAGAGGUCUAAAAUAUGGCCAUGAAGAAUAAUGUAUUAAUA
Long non-coding RNA from Puntigrus tetrazona (Sumatra barb), 715 nucleotides. RefSeq lists it as uncharacterized. The transcript has 5 exons. The record is from RefSeq and is a predicted model, not a curated record. NCBI's taxonomy places the organism in Eukaryota, Metazoa, Chordata, Actinopteri, Cypriniformes, Cyprinidae.